AAUUCUGGCAGGAAGUCAAACCAAAGCAGAAGCGGUAAAUUUAACAAAAUAAAAGAACAUUUUCAAAAAAAUAAAACACUGCGAUUGAUAAAUGUGAUAAUUUUUGUGUAUCUAAACAGACUAGAGAGAUGAAAAUGAACAAACACACACACAUAGCAGAGAAACAUAGCUUUUCCAAAAUUUUAAAUGCAGUUUUUACAGCAAAGGAUGGAUUUAAUAAAUGUGAAUACAAAGAAAUACACAGCAGCAAGAUCAGCGCAGUUUCCGUUAUCAACACGCGGGGCAAACUGGUUACACACACACACACACACACACACACACACACACACACACACACACACACACACACACACACACAAAGGGCGGGGUGGGGGGGUUUGGGAAAUGGUAGGCGUGUGCAGAAGCGCACGUUGAAAAUUCUGUCCUGAUGUGAACAGACGAGGAGUGGACAGCGCACGAAUUUCAUGAGUGAUCCACUUCGCGGCGCUUCACAGCUGGUGUGUUCUGGGCGUAAAAGAGCUGAAACACAUUGUUGUACGAUUAUUCUCACAUUUAUUUACAUUUAUAUUAACUUAAAGAUUUGUUGGAAGGAUUAUUGUUCAACACUCAGCUUUAAGGGGUUAGAUGGGGGGGUUAAACCACCAAAUAGUUCCCGAGCGCAGCCACUGCUGCAGCUCACCACUCCCAACGGAAAUGGGUCAGAUGUGGAGAUGUCAUUUCACCAAUGUGUGAUGAUGACUUUAACUUUAUUUGUCCAUAAGAAAGGUUGCCAGCUCUAUAUCCGUCUUCAGCAAACGAGCUCUGUGAUUGACAUCUGUGCUUAAGUAGAUGUUUAACGCUAUUGGCUAAUGCUGACCAAUUCAAAUUGCUUGGCGCUCUACAGAACAGGGGAGCAGGCUUACAAAAAAUGAUGUUUUGCCUACAUUCUAUCACAAAACAGGGUAACACUAUCACUCUCACAGAUUAAAAAAAACAUACAUUAUUACUGAAAGGGAGAAAACUCUGUCUCAGUGUUGAGAGGCUUGUGAUGAAAGAAUAGGAGUGAGAAAAAUGUGAGUUUAUCGUAACUACAUCAUCUGGCUAUAAUGUAACAGGUUUGUUCAGUUGUGCUGUUCUAGAAAAAAACAUUUUUAUUCAGCCAAAUGAUGCACUGGCCUUAGCUCAGAGCAACACUGUUUGUUUUUUGUCUGAAAUGGAUGUUUGGCAGUCAAAUAAAUGCAAAUUUGGUAGAAAAACCACGUUUUACUUUGCAGAAAUGUUCAAACUGCAUUUACUCGUCUGACAACGGCUCACUCCUGAUCGUCUCUAAAUAAUUUACUAAUCAGGUCUGAAUAUUUUCUCCUCACUGCUCAAUUUGAUUAAAGUAUUUAGUCUCAGAUGAUCGCUCAUCACAUGGAAGCACUUAUUUUUCCUGAUGUGAUGUUGUCUGUAUAGCGUGAUGAAACAGAAAUUUUAUAAGUGAGUUAGCUUUUCUAGCCUGCAGCUCUCAGUGAGGCUGGUUCAGCACUGUAAAAAAAGUCAGUAAAAUAUACAGUAAAACACCGUCAAAUUCCAACGGUAAUGGAGCGUACAACCAAAACUUCAUUUUACCGUAUUACAUUGAUUCAAUAACCGUUAAUUGUGAGACUGGAUAAAACUGUGUUUUUCACUGUAAUAAAAUGUUGAAAUUAUAAUUAUUUUCUCUGAAAAUAAAAAAAUAUACAUACAUUUUACAAUAAAAUUUUGUAACGUUGAAAAUGUCUGAAAACCUUUCAUUUUACGGUAUCAUUCAAGUAAAACUACAUCUUUUGGGGUUGUGCACAUUGGAAUUCACAGUAUAAAUCUGUAAAUUUUUAAGCAAACAAAAACAUUAAUUUUUACUGAAGCAAGAUGUUAAAAAUAGGGUCCACCGUAAUAAUACAAGUAAAUACCAUUAAAAAGCUAUUAUCAUCAGUAAAAGACAAUACAAUUGAUAGUCGGCUAUUUUUAAUUAUAAAAAUCUGUGCAUCAGUAGGCCUAUAGGCCUAAAAAGUUAGGCCUGCAGUAUAUUACUGUCAACCUUCUGUUAAAAAAAAUCAACAGCAAAAUUUUUUUUUAAUAAAGUUCAUGGUUGUAAAAAAUUCAUUUCAGUUAUCUUUUUCAAUUAUUAUUUUAAAUCAACUUUAUGUUAUGUUUCACGCCAUUUUAUCAGACCACCUGGGUCCGCCUUAAAGAUUAAGUCACAUCAAAAUCAACCUUUUUUUAGCUGAUAACUAGUACAAAUGAGCGUCUAAUAGUGUUGUAGACAUGUGUACUGCGGUCUCAACCCGUCUCAACCAGUCUUUUAGCAGUCAGGCUCGGAAGUGAGUUGUGCUGUAGUUAGCAUUUGCAUUGUGUCAGAAUCCCAGCAAAACUUCUAGUAUUAUAGUUAUUUAGUUCUAGUAGCUUGGCUGUUAAUAUUGUAGUUAAGUGUUUUUUACAUGUUACUCUUUCACCAACUUGAUGGAGUUUGAACUGGGAUGGAGUUUGAACUGGGUUAUGCUGGUUUGAAGAGCAUUUCACAAAUUAGUCCAAGCCGUUCCAGUAAUUAGCCGGUGUUCUGGGAAUUUCUCCUACCCCGUAAACCGUCCUACCCGUUGUUCCUGAGCAUGUGCGCGCAUGCGCACAACACAAAAAGGGAAUGCUACUCCGUUGUCAUAUGUGCAGGAAAAUAGGUAAGUAGUAAGUAUUAGUACUUUUUAUUGAUGUUGAUACUUGAUUUUUUGGGUUAGGGAUGGGUACCGAAUUCGGUACUUUUUAAGGUACCGAUCGAAUUCCAUAGUACCGACCGAGCACCGAUUCACGUAAUUUCAAACGGUGCCUUGUUUCGGUACCCGUCCUUCAUAACGAGAACUUGCCAAGACAGCUGCGCAUGCGCAAGAGCGUUAUGUCGUUGCUCGCUGCGAGCGAGUUGUAAACAGAGCAGCAUGGUAGAAAGAACGCACGCUAAAUCUUGGGUCCACUUCACUAAAUGUGAUGGGUAACUGGGUGAUGAUGAAACCAGCAACAACGAUCUAAGUGAGACAUCCUCAUCUUAAUCUGUUCCGGUAGGUAAAUAAAAUGUUUAAGAUAACGUUAGCUUGAUAUGUUAGCUUCAGUUUCGCUAAUGGUGCGUUUGCUUUCUCCUCGGAACUCCGAAUUUCCAACUAGAAGAACAUGAACGCGCGCUAAAGUUUGGCUUCACUUUACUAAAGGCGACUGGUGAUUGGGUGAAGAUGAAACCAGUGACAACGAUCUAAGUGUGAGGCAUCAUCGUUUUAAUCUGCUCCAGCAGUUAAAUAAACUGUUUAAGAUAACGUUAGCUUGAUAUGUUAGCUUCCAUUGCCACCGUUAUCAGCUAAUGGUGCGUUCGCUUUCUCCUCGGAAAUUCUAGCUUCCCAGUAGGAAAAAUCAAAUGAAAAAAGACGACAAAAGGAAUGAAGAUACACAGUAAAUUUAGUUCACAGUAAAGAUGUUUGCUUCAGUUUAAUUAUCAGCUUAUAAAACUACAAGGACGAUGUUAAAAUACAAACAGUUGAAUGUUAUUUAUCGUGAUAUUUAUCAAAUAUUGUUAUAUAUUGAGAAAAAUAUAUAUUUAAUUAUAAAAGAGAAUUAAAAUAAUAAACACUCAAAAGUAUCGAAAAUUGGUACCGUUAAGUACCGGUAUCGAUUCCUAGGUACCGGGAAUUAGUACCGAAUCGAUUCAAAUGUCAAAGGUACCCAUCCCUAUUUAGGGUUAGUGUUUGUGUCAUGUAAAACACCAUAAAAUUAUCCUACGGGUACGUUUUGCCAAAGUAGGACGUUUUGUCAGAACACCGGUUCCCGCCGACUGCUGCUUCCUGAAAACGGAGAUUUUGGACCCAAUUUGAGGUGAGUAAGCUAAAUAAUUACUUUUAACAGCUUCUAAAGAUCAUUCCCUACCUGUAAUUUUGCAGCUAUAUUUGCUAUAUUUAUAAAUGCAAAGUAAGAGGGACGUGGUUCACGUAAUUUAGACAAUCAGUCCACACUGCUGCAGGCUCGAAGCGAGUGUUGUGUGUGUUAUAAUGUCACAGACUGGUUCGUGUUAAGUUUUUGUGCCAGUUACCCCUUCUUUCCACUGGAGCCGUCAGCAGCACGUUACUGCAGCAGCACGUCUUGCUCGCGUAAGCUGCUGCUUGGCCCUUCCCACGAGACGCGAAGCAGCAGGGGAGCAGCUGUCACCGACAGAGCACGAAGUCACACGAGGGACUUCGUCAGUAAACACAACAACAAGCAGGAGAAAAUUACAACAUGGCUCCAAAAGGUUUGUGUUUUAUGUUCUGUCCGUUUUAUAAUCGCCAAUACGGACCUGAAAUACAAAGGAGACCGCUAGCUAGGUGAUAACUUCUCAUGGGGCCGCACAGUUAGGCAGUACGUUUCUUCAUUCUGAAAAUCUCUGGAGCUUCGCUCCGUUUCCGCGUCCGAUUUCCUGUCUUUCCUUCCCCAAAAAUGUCAAUAAUACCUAGCUGCAGACGCAGCCCCGACAAACCACACCCCCGACAAAACACCCCCCCGACCAAACACACCCCCAUGUGCCUGUUGAGCUCCCCCGAGCUCCCCUGGUGGUCAGAAAAGGGAAAUAUCUCAAUAACGGCAGCCCUCCCAGCGGGCGGGGAGAGCUUAAACCUGGGUCGGAUCCAGGGUGCAGCAUCCCGCUGUCAGCUCCAGCAGGUGAUCGGGCUGUGUUUUUAAUUCCCAGCAGGGCAGGGGAGCUCAUUCCUGGGUCGGAUCCGGUCCGCAGCAGCCCGCCACAGGCUCCAGCAGGUGAUGGCGGUGUUUCCAACCCUCCCAGCGGGGCAGGGGAGCUGAAACCUGGGUCAGAUCCAGGGUGCAGCACCCCGCCUCAGGCUCCAGCAGAGGAGAUUGGGAUUUUUUUCAUAUCAAACGCCUUUCAAUGCGAACAAUACAAUUGAAAGUAUACGUUUAUACAGAAAUAGUAACAAUGUAAUUAAACAGACAGGACUCCAGAUUGAAAUAUGAAUGCAUGGAUUUUUUUCUUCUUGCAUACACACUUUUUGGCCAUCCCCAUUGGGAUUAUAAAACACAAGAUACCACCAACAAAUAAUCAGUUGCCGGACAAUAGGCACAACUAGGGAUGGGUACCGAAUUCGGUACUUUUUAAGGUACCGACCGAAUUCCAUAGUACCGACCGAGCACCGAUUCACGUAAUUUCAAACGGUGCCUUGUUUCGGUACCCGUCCUUCAUAACGAGAACUUGCCAAGACAGCUGCGCAUGCGCAAGAGCGUUAAGUCGUCGCUCGCUGCGAGCGAGUUGUAAACAGAGCAGCAUGGUAGAAAGAACGCACGCUAAAUCUUGGGUCCACUUCACUAAAUGUGAUGGGUAACUGGGUGAUGAUGAAACCAGCGACAACGAUCUAAGUGAGACAUCCUCAUCUUAUUCUGCUCCGGUAGGUAAAUAAAAUGUUUAAGAUAACGUUAGCUUGAUAUGUUAGCUUCUGUUUCGCUUUUGGUGCGUUAUAUAUUGAGAAAAAUAUAUAUUUAAUUAUAAAAGAGAAUUAAAAUAAUAAACACUCAAAAGUAUUGAAAAUUGGUACCGUUAAGUACCGGUAUCGAUUCCUAGGUACCGGGAAUUAGUACCGAAUCGAUUCAAAUGUCAAAGGUACCCAUCCCUAGAAAUCUUCGCAAGGUGUAAAAAUAUAAAUCUGUCUUUACCUGAACUGUCAUUUCCAUCUGGUGUUGCAACACGCAUGCAACUUCUCUUGUCUUCGAACAUGCAGGCGUCUUUUGUCAAUAAUUCCUAGCUGCAGACUGGGAGGGCUGCCGUUAUUGAGAUAUUUCCCUUUUCUGACCACCAGGGGAGCUCGGGGGAGCUCAACAGGCACAUGGGGGCGUGUUUGGUCGGGGGCGUGCUUUGUCGGGGCUGCGUCUGCAGCUAGACCUUACUCAAAAAUGUCGAACGUGACCCGUUUCAGAGGCAUCGUGCGUAGAAAAUAGAACCGGCGCGUAAGAGCCGCGACAUGCUGCUCCUGAGACGCGGCCGACUCGUGCUGCUGACGGCUGCUGACGUCUCCGGUGAAAAAGGUUCUGUUGACCACAGCGGUUCCUAUCAGCAGCUAUGACGUGCUGCUGCAGUAACGUGCUGCUGACGGCUCCGGUGGGAAGAAGGGGUUAGUAAUUAUCAGAGCUGAUGCAGAGCAGGAGGGACACUCAAGAGUAGCUCCUCCUGAAGCAGACCUGACCCGGUUCUGAACUGGUGCUGAGUCCAGUUCUCAUUAGAGCAUGUCUGAUUCUGGACCCUGAAUUAGCUCUGAGAGCAGUCUGAUCACUCACCAGCCAUGUUAUAAAGAACAUAUAUUAGACAGUUUGUUUUGUACACGAUCUAAGUUACUAAACUCCCACAACAGCGUGAUGUUAUUAUUAUUUUCAGGCUAAGUCUGCCCAAUAAAUCUACUGUCAGACUGAUGUAGUCCUCCACCAGCCUGCACCGGUCCAGGCUAGAGCCUUGCAGCCUCCCAGCAGCUGUGUGUCUGACACUGGGACCAUGGUGGGAAUUCCACCCAGAGCAGCUUCUACACUCCUGAACAGACCCAGGUUUGGUGGAGAGCUUCUGAGCAGCUUCCAUCUGGAUGACAGGACAAGAUCCAUGAACUGAUCCAGGCUAAAUGAACCCAAGAAAUCUGCUGUCAGACUGAUUGUUGCAGCUACAAAUGGUCCAGACUAACAUGAAGCCUUGCAGGUGGAGUAAAGAGGGGAUCCUGCUAGACCAUAGUGAACUCCUGAUCGACACUGAAGUCUUCCUGCAGAGCUCGUAUCUUCGACACCAUGCCAUUAGAAACUCCACUGAGUCCUUUCCUUCACCAAGGCAGGACCCAGUGACUCAUUACUGUCGAUCGGUCAGGGGCUGGUAAUUUUGUGUUUCAUGUUUAUUUAUUCCUCCACAGAUUACCAGCCAUAAUAUAUGAACACAUGUUGUAUUCGCAAGAUCUAUGCUGUGGGUAGGAAUAGAACAAAUAUGUUUAUUUUGUUUUCAAAUGCUAAUUUUUCUCAUUGUUUUUCAGUAAUUUUCAUCGUUGUCGUCUUCCUCCGCUUAUCCGGGUCAUUGGGGCAGCAUCCCAACUAGGGAGCUCCAGACCGUCCUUUCCCUGGCCACCUCCACCAGCUCCUCCGGCAGGACCCCAAGGCGUUUCCGGACCAGAUUGGAGAUGUAACCUCUCCAAUGUGUCCUGGGUUGACCCGGGGGCCUCCUGCCGGCAGGACAUGCCCGAAACACCUCCUCAGGGAGGCGUCCAGGAGGCAUCCUGACCAGAUGCCCAAACCACCUUAACUGACACCUUUUGAUCCGGAGGAGCAGCGGUUCUACUCCAAGUCCCUCCCGAAUGUCCGAGCUCCUCACCCUAUCUCUAAGGCUGAGCCCGGCCACCCUACGGAGGAAACUCAUUUCGGCCUCUUGUAUCCGCGAUCUCGUUCUUUCGGUUAUUACCCAAACCUCAUGACCAUAGGUGAGGAUUGGGAUGUAGAUCGACUGGUAAAUCGAGAGCCUGGCUGUCUGGCUCAGCUCCCUCUUCACCACGACAGAUCGGCUCAGCGUCCGCAUCACUGCAGAUGCUGAACCAAUCCGCCUGUCGAUCUCCCGAUCCCUCCUACCCUCACUCGUGAGCAAGACCCCGAGAUACUUAAACUCCUCCACUUGAGGUAGGACCUCUCUCCCGACCCGGAGUUGGCAAGCCACCCUUUUCCGGUCGAGAACCAUGGUCUCAGAUUUGGAGGUGCUGAUCCUCAUCCCAGCUGCUUCACAUUCGGCCGCGAACCUACCCAGCAAGAGCUGAAGGUCAGAGCUGGAUGAAGCUAGGAGGACCACAACAUCUGCAAAAAGCAGAGACGAGAUUCUCCUGCCACCAAACUCGACACACUCUACACCACGGCUGCACCUAGAAAUUCUGUCCAUAAAGGUAAUGAACAGAACCGGUGACAAAGGGCAGCCCUGGCGGAGUCCAACCCUCACCGGGAACAGGUCUGACUUACUACCGGCUAUGCGGACCAAACUCACGCUCCUCUGGUAAAGGGACUGAAUGGCCCUUAACAGAACCACCCCAUACUCCUGGAGCGUCCCCCACAGGGUGCCUCUGGGUACACGGUCAUAAGCCUUCUCCAAAUCCACCAAACACAUGUGGAUUGGUUGGGCAAACUCCCAUGCCCUCUCCAUCACCCUUGCAAGGGUAUAGAGCUGGUCCACAGUUCCACGGCCAGGACGAAAACCACAUUGCUCAAUCAAUCAAUCAAUCAAUCAAUCAAUCAAUCAAUCAAUCAAAGCUUUAUUUAUAAAGCGCCUUCCGCAACCCUGUCAGGAAGCCCAAGGCACUUCUCCUCAAUCUGAGAUUCAACUAUCGCUCGGACCCUCCUCUCCAGUACCUUGGAGUAGACCUUUCCAGGGAGGCUGAGGAGUGUGAUCCCCCUAUAGCUGGAACACACCCUCAGGUCACCCUUCUUAAAGAUGGGGACCACCACUCCGGUCUGCCACUCCACAGGAACUGCCCCCGAUGACCACGCAAUGUUGCAGAGACGUGUCAACCACGACAACCCUACAACAUCCAUAGCCUUGAGAUACCCAGGACGAAUCUCAUCUGCCCCCGGGGCUCCGCCGCUGUGUAGUUGUUUGACUACCUCAGCAACUUCUGCCCCCGAGAUUGGACAGUCCAUCCCCAGGUCUCCCAGCUCUGGUUCCUCCUCGGAAUGCGCGUAGGUGGGACUUAGGAGCUCCUCAAAGUAUUCCUUCCACCGCCCGACUAUAGCCCCAGUUGACGUCAGCAGCUCCCCAUCCCCACUGUAAACAGUGUGAGCGAGUUGCUGCCUUCCUCUCCUGAGGCGCCGGACAGUUUGCCAGAACCUCUUUGGAGCCAAUCGAUAGUCUUUCUCCAUGGCCUCACCAAACUUCUCCCACGCCCAAGAUUUUGCCUCGGCAACUGCCACUGCUGCACCCUGCUUGGCUAUCCGUACCCGUCUGCUGCCUCCGGAGACCCACAGAUCAGCCACGUCCUGUAGGCCUUCUCCUUCAGCCUGACAGCUCCCCGAACCUCUGGUGUCCACCAGCGGGUAUGGUGGUUGCUACCACGACUGGCACCGGCUACCUUGUGACCACAGCUAGCAACAGCCGCCUCAACAAUCGCAGAGUGGAACAAGGCCCACUCGGAAUCAAUGUCCCCCACUGCUCUCGGGACGCGGUCAAAGCUCUGCCGGAGGUGGGAAUUGAAGACCGUCUUGACAGGUUCUUCUGCCAGGCAUUCCCAGCAGGCCCUCACUAUGCAUUUGCGUCUGCCAGGUCUACGCUACAUGUUCCCCUGCCAUCUGAUCCAACUUACCACCAGGUGGUGAUCAGUUGACAGCUCCGCUCCUCUCUUCACUCGGGUGUCCAAAACAUACGGCCGCAGGUCAGAUGAUACGACUACAAAGUCUAUCAUCGAUCUGCGACCUAGGCUGCCCUGGUACCAAGUGUACCGAUGGGCAUCCUUAUGUUCGAAAAAGGUGUUCUCAGUAAUUUUCACUAACUUAUUUGAGCAUCUUUAUAUUUUUCUAUAUUUAACGGUUGCAAAUGUUAAAGAGCGGGUCAAUUGAGCCUCGGAGUCCUUCUCCACCCACGUAUCAAUUUAAAAAAAUGCAACAUUAGUAGGCGUUGCCUGGAGGAUCGAGAGGGCGGAGCCGCGGCAGUGACGAAGACGAUGGCUAACUAGACGAAGCUAGCUCCCUUCACUCUGAGCAGUUGAUAGAAGUGGAGGACGUUUCUCCCCCUCCUUACAGACACUCGAGAAGAAAGGGACCAAGUCUAUUUGGAGGAGACAAGCGGACCUGAGUCUUAUUGUUUUGAGCUUGUGAGUUGCCUGAAACUCCCAGAGCCGACCCAACAGAAUCACCUCUGAAAGGUAAGUAGCCGUUAGCCAUAGCAUUGGAUUAGCUGCAGGGUUUGUCUCCACGGCCCCAAAAAGCUAGUAUUCAGCAUGUUUUAGAGGUUUAUCUGCUUCAGCACACCUGGUUUUAAUCAGCAACAAAUAGCUGAGCUGCUUAACAGCUAAUCUAACCUGUUAAAGCAGGAAAAUCCACUGAAACAUGCUGGAUAGCUCUCCGGUAGCCCUGGGCUCAAGGUACAGUCUGCUGCAUAUAAAGUUAUGAAAAUACCCCAUGAGAAAAUUAUUCUGUAAUGUGUUCAGCCCACUAAAACUGCCCUGAUUUCUUUAUUUAUUUACUAAUAACAGCUGCUCUCUCGGUUCUAGGUCCUCUGGUGUCUGCAGCUGGUCUCUGGUGUCUGCAGCUGGUCUCCUCUGCUGGUGUCCUCAGGAUCAGGAACUUCCAGAAGAAUGUGCCUUUCAAUGACUCUUUCCCCCUUAUUUGUUAUAUUAAUUAAAUAAAUCUCAAUUUAUAUA
Nothobranchius furzeri (turquoise killifish) is the source of this 10367-nucleotide long non-coding RNA. RefSeq lists it as uncharacterized. The record is from RefSeq and is a predicted model, not a curated record. NCBI's taxonomy places the organism in Eukaryota, Metazoa, Chordata, Actinopteri, Cyprinodontiformes, Nothobranchiidae.